This 261-nucleotide ribosomal RNA is filed under the name uncultured prokaryote. RNAcentral describes it as "partial 16S ribosomal RNA". It matches the Rfam family "Bacterial small subunit ribosomal RNA", at positions 524 to 784 of the family's 1533-position model. The record is from RNAcentral.
UACGUAGGUGGCAAGCGUUAUCCGGAUUUACUGGGUGUAAAGGGCGUGUAGGCGGUUCUGCAAGUCAGAUGUGAAAUCUCCGGGCUUAACCCGGAAGCUGCAUCUGAAACUGCAGAACUUGAGUACUGGAGAGGAUAGUGGAAUUCCUAGUGUAGCGGUAAAAUGCGUAGAUAUUAGGAGGAACACCAGUGGCGAAGGCGGCUAUCUGGACAGUAACUGACGCUGAGGCGCGAAAGCGUGGGGAGCAAACAGGAUUAGAUA